GGUGAGAUGGCCGAGUUGGUUAUGGCGUAAGAUUAAGGUUCUUAUGGAGCAAUCCGCCUGGGUUCGAGUCCCAGUCUCAUCA
Molecule: transfer RNA, 82 nt
Filed under: Epichloe festucae E2368
Lineage: Eukaryota; Fungi; Ascomycota; Sordariomycetes; Hypocreales; Clavicipitaceae
Also listed under: 1 other name
Description: tRNA-Leu (AAG) (tRNA-Leu-AAG-1 1 to 3)
Rfam family: tRNA
About the family: Transfer RNA (tRNA) molecules are approximately 80 nucleotides in length. Their secondary structure includes four short double-helical elements and three loops (D, anti-codon, and T loops).
Source: RNAcentral